UGUUGGGUUCCUCCAGCUACUACCACAGACCAAAAACAUGCAUGUUAGUUAGAUUGGAGACUUUUAAUAGUCCGUAGAUGUGACUCCUUGUGUGUCCCUGUGAUGAACUGCAGACUUGUGCAGGGUGUCCACCUUCCACCCAGUGACUGCUGAAAGUAAACACCAACUUCCUACUGACAAUUAAGUGGGUCAGAAAUUGAACAAAAUAAUGAUUUUUUGAAUUUGGCUCUUAUCACAAAAGAAGAUUAUUAAAACUGUAUUCCAAUUUGCAAGUAUGGUUUUUUUCAUGAUGGCUUUGGAUUGAUGCACUUCCACCCAUUUCAAGAGCUAAACUCAUCUUUAUCCAGUGGUGUUUAAAAAUGCCAGCACAAAAACGAGGGCAUGCAGAGUGUGACACGUCUCUCUACCUCCAAUCUUUCCAAAUGAUGUCCAGACACUCUGUGGCGCAGCAUCCAGCAAUAUGUCCCACAUGGCUGCAUGGUGGCACAGUGGUUAGCACUGUUGCCUCGCAGCACGAAGGUCACAGGUUCGAAACUCGGCUGCGGCCUUUCUGCGUGGAGUUGCGUGUUCUCCCCAUGCAUGCGUGGGUUUCCUCCGGGUACUCCGGUUUUCCCCACAGAUCACAACAUGCCCUAUAGGUUAUAAAUUGUAAGUCACUUUGGAUAAAAGCAUCUGCCAAAUGAAUAAACAUAAACAUGGGUUUAAUGUCAACCAACACUCUUAACUCAGUAAGUUUUGCAGAAAUUCAUCAAAACAUUCUGCCAUAGUUAAGACUCAUCCCCCUACCCCUCAUACCAAACUCCACAUAUUGAACAACAUCCUUGUUUAAAACUGUGAGCUGUUUUGACUGUUUGCAGCUACAGUCAAGAUAUCUCCCACACACAGUCAGCCUUAGCAAGCGAGAUGAUGGCAACCAGUGGCGGCUGGUGACAUUUUGUUUGGUGGGGCGCGUUUAUGCUGUGUGUUUUCAGAUGUGUUAACCACAUAUCACAACUAGGGGUUACAGAAGUACCAUUCUUAUGAUAGAAUCCAUGUUUUCUACCCCAACAACACCCAAUGACGCUAAAUAAAAAGGCUGAAAAAAAGUUAAAUACACAUACUGAGAAAAACACACAGUAGCAACAUGAUCCUGUUCACAGAACCAGCCGUUUUAAUUAAAGCCCAGACCCACCUCUUUAUAACAAUAUACGUACCGUUACGCUACCUGCGAAACUCAAGGAACUCAGCAGCAAAACCAACAAAGUAAAUUUCAUGAAAUCUAAAGCAUGAAUGUAGUUUUACCUUAGCUGCUUUUUGACCAUAAAAAUCUGUGUUAUGGUAAAAAAAAAAGUCCACUCAAUUCAUGUUAUCCAAUGUCGCAACGUCACACUGAGUUGAUUCCUGAUUGUCUUGUGCUUUUUAUGUAUUUUUUUUAUAUUUUUUUAUUCCUAUCUUCUUCUUCCUGUGAGAUUGGUGGGGCAGAACCCUAGUGCCCCCUAUGGACUGGCUGCCUCUCAUGGCAAUGUGAUUUUGUAACAGUGGGGCAUUACACAAACAGCAUUAUUAAAUAUUAACCAAAUCAGAAUGACUCCGUCUUUUUAACACAAGUUUAAAAUUCAGAGAUGAAGAGCAGUGGCUGAUUGCAUCUAUGGGAAUGCUCAACUUUUCAUAGAUAGAAAUGUUUUUUAGCCUUUAGUGGUUUAGGCUGAAGUUUUAGUCUGACCAGGGAAAGGUAGGGAGACAGUAGGAGACAACACUUGAUAAACCUCCAUCCUUCAGGAAAGGAGACAUUCAUUUGUGUUAACAUGCAAAGUAAAACAAAAUUUAAUUUUAUAAAAUUAAUUGCAUUGAUAAAUUAAGAAACAUGCUUUUAUAAAGUAUAGCAGGUGAGACAUCCAGACGUAGGAAUGUGGUCACUUUUCUGACCUCUAACAAGAACCUUUUCUCUGAGAGCAAAAUAAAGUAACAAAAACACAAUACAUGGAGACGGCCCAGCUUUAUAUCACCUCUAUAAAAUGCUUUGUUUCCAAAUGGCAGUUUUUUUUAUUGAGCCUUGUUGUGAGAAUACAAAAAUACAACUAUUUGUCAUUUUCUUGCAGACAUAAAUAACUUCUGUGGAAAAGUCAUUUACUUGAAAAUAUGUUCAAAAACUUAUAUUAAUCAUUCAGCUUUUACAAUGACUUAACAAACAUAUGUGCAACUGUUGGUGCCAUAUUCACUAGAAGAAGAAGAAGAAGAAGAAGAAGAAGAAGAAGAAGAAGAAGAAGAAGAAGAAGAAGAAGAAGAAGAAGAAGAGGAAGAAGAAGAAGAAGAAGAAGAAGGAGAAGAAGAAGAAGAAGAAGAAGAAGAAGAAAAUAUCAUUUCUAUAGCGCCUCUCAAGAUAAAAAUCACGAGGCACUUCAUAAAAACAAAAACAAAAAAUAUAAAAUUUGUAAAAAUAUAAAAAAGCAUUUCGAAAAUGUUUAAAAAUAUAUUUCAAAUGAGCAAGAAUAGGCAAUUGCGAUUUAAAAGAAAAAAUGUUAAGAAAGAGAGAGAGUGAAUAGGAAAGAGGGAAAUCAGUGGAUCCUGAGGAAGGUGGAAUAGGUGGGGAGAGCAGAAUAAAGAGAGAGUGGUGAAGAAGGUCAUACAAAAGCCAGCUUGAACAAGUGAGUCUUCAGCUGCUUUUUGAAGGAGACCACUGAGUCCACUGAUCUCAGGCUCACUAAUAGUAAAUACCACUUCAGAAUCACAUUUAUUCUUUGUGCAGGGCUGCUUGUAGCACUGAAACAAAUAAUUUUAUAUUUUCAUCUUUGUUCUCUUGUUUAUACAGUUUUAUUUGGACUGUGCCUGAUGAAAUCAUCCUAAUCUCUUCAAAUGAAUGCAAAUAUAGAUUUUCUCACACUAUUAAGAAAGGCUUUGAAAUGGGACUUCCACUGCACCUGGGAGUUUUAAACCAAGUGCCUUGCAUUCUGACAAUCAAACUAUUUCAAUUAAGUUGUUUUAUUUCUUAUUAUUUGUUGCUACCAUGCCAAAUGAUUUACAAUUUUCAAAUUAAAUGGACAAUUUUGGACAAUUUUAUUAAACUUACUGAGUUGUAAAAUAAAGGUAAUUUAUGUAUCCUCAGGUAAAGACACAGGGAAAGUUCUGGUACGGCUUAUAAAGACGGGAGAAUUAACCCAUAUGUUCCCCUUAUCAAAGAUGCCCAGCCUUAUACAGUUGCAUAUUUUGAAAGAAUAACUUCUCAAAUGUAUACUCUGAUAACAAGUAGACUUUAUCUCUGAAGCACUACGAUUUACAUCUGAAAAAGUCUUAGAUGGAAAGGCUUAAAAUAAUUUACACAGAGUGCAGUUACACAUUUAUGAAAAAAGGUUGUGUGAUUCAGUGAUUAAAACAGUAUUUACUUGUUCACACAUCAAAAACUGCAUAAAGUCAAGCCUAAACAAUCAAUAACUUAUAUAAAUUAUAAUAAAUUAAUUAUAAACAGUAAGUGUUGUAUCCUUAGUUUAAAGCACAAUAAAUAACUUAUUUUUCUUAUUAGUAUUUCGAUCACAUAAAAAAAGCACUGAAACAGGGAGUAAGAGGGGAAAAAUAUAUAUGUUUUGUUUUCAGAUUUAAUGCUAAUAGGAAUGAAAAAAAUAUCAUUGGGCUGCACUGAGCAUGUGGGGAUUAUAACUGAAGACCUGUUGUGGAACACCAGUGUGUUUAGCCCUCAUUCUGCCAUCAUCAUUAGCCUCAGUCUUUUACAACACCACUGCAUUUGAGUUUCAUCCUCAGAAGGGAAGUGCACAUUAUUUAGAAGGCACAGUAAAUUAAGAGCCUGCUUGAAAAGCAAAACGUGACAAAAAAAUACUUAUCAUCACAUUCAUUUAACAUUCCCCUACCUUUUGAAACCACUUAUUCCUGGAAAAGGUCACGAGAGCUGCUUUCUAUCCAACAGCCACUGGGCAAGAGGUGAGGGAUAUCCUGCAGGUUACUAGUUCAUCACAGGGACAUAUAGAGACAAAGAAGACACAAACAUUUACUCCCUCACAGCUAGGAACAAAUUGGCUAGAUAAUCUGUUUUAAGAUUUGGGAUUAAAAAUACAAGAGAGAAUGUGAAUGGGAGCAGGAGGUGCUGCUGGAGCAAAGGGAGGGAGGGAGGGUCACCGUGAGAGGGGGAUUCUUCAUGAAUGAAUUAAUACCGGAACAAUUUUGGUGAAAAAUAAUUCAGGGAGACGGUGGGAACAAGGAGUAAAAUAGUUUACUGUUUUUAACCUCCUUGGGCCCUGUGUCCACAUAUGUGGAUAUUGGCUCCUUGCACUUUAAAAUUUUAUUUUCUUCUUCUUACACGUUUUUGUCAUUAUUUAUAGACACUUUAUAUUGACUUAGAUAAAAAAUAUUUAUUUGUUGCCUUUCUUUUUUUUAGGAUAUUUGACAACAUUUUAUUUAAUUAAUUUUGAUUUAAUUUAAAUGUUUGUAACUUUGUUUCUGUUAAUUACAGUCGACUAAUCUGUAAAUGCUAGAUAUGAUUUUUCUUUUAAUUCAAACCAAAUAAAAGUUUGGGUCCCAGGAGGUUGAAACAGUACUUCUAUGUUUACCUGCUUACACUAGAGAUAUUCUUCUGCAACUACUACAUCAGAUUGUGUCUGUGCACCGAUUACUGUCAAAUGUAUCUGCCAGUCAAACAGGGAUCAUUGGGUUCAAUUGAAACUUUAGUGGACUGUAUACAAGAGGUGCACUCAUGGUUGGCUUCCCAUUGUUUGGCUUUUAAUGGGAGCAAAACCAAGGUCAUCAUUUUACCAAAAAUGAGCUCCAGCUGCAUAAAGGGGACCUCCUAUUGUUUGCCCAAUCGGAGACAACUGCAAUCUCAGAUUUGGGUGUUAAGUUAGAUUCUGCAGAAACAUUCGACUCCCAAAUAAAUACAGCGGUCUGUUCUCGUUUCUUUCAGCUUCAGUGCUUGUCUAGGAUUAGGUCGAAGAAGCUCUCAAAAAGUAUUUCGAUUGUAAUCUAUGCUGGACUGAGUCACUCUACACUUUCAUGGCUGCAGAUGGUCCAAAACGCACCAGCAAGUUUUAUCUUUGGAGUGAAGAAGUGGGAGCAUAACACUUAACACUCUACAAGGGCUCCCUGUGAAAAACAACAUAGAAAUCAAGGUUCUAGUCAAUGUCUUCCAUUCACUUGCUGGAACCGCUCCUCCCUGUUUAUAAGCGCUUAUUAAAAUAACUAGAUCUCUUUGUUUCAUGGACAAGGAUCUGUUGGUGGUCCCUAGGUCUAGACGUGAAUUGCCGAGGUGAUCGAGCAUUUGCAGUACUUGGCCUGAAACCUGGAACAAGGUCAUUGUUCAUCAGACAAUCUAAAUCAAUCUGGAGUUCUAAGCCUUGUCUUAAGUAGCAUUUUAGAUCAAUCUGCUUUAUUUAUUGGGUUUUAUAUUGAUUCAUUCCAUUUUUAUUGUUUUUCAGUGAGUCCUAUUGUCACAUUUCUUUGUAUGGCGCUCAGCUUGUUGGGCUCCCUUGAUUGGUGGCAGAUAAAGUGAUAUGCAAAUGAAUUAAUUAAAUGAAAAUAAAAUGAAGUUUUUGGCCAACAAGGUAAAAAGUAAUAUCAGAUAAAUCCUUCACAAAAUGUAACCCCUAAAUCAGUCAUUUGAUCCAUGGGACAGAUGAUUACAUUUAGCUGGCAGUGGUGAACCUAUAUGUUAUCCAGAUUUUUUUGUUACAGGCAAAAACAGCAAUGUUUAAAACCCCACUCAUCAGCUGAGGCUUUAAUACUCACAGUCGCUGAAAUAAGAGUGAGCGAUGAUACUUGAAGUAAAUGUUUAUUGACAUUGGUGGCUCAAGUUCAACUUUUGUUUCUUUAACAUCAAAUUUUCUCCUUUUCAUUCUUUGUACAUGAAUCCAUCCUCCCUGUUCCUUCACUAAUGGAUUAAAACCCCUUAAAUGUGCACCAGAAUGGAGUUACCUGUACCAGAAACUGCUCAUGCAUAUUCACGCUUCUUUACAGCAGAGCAGGUUGAAUCUCACUUGUGUUUAAGCAGGUGCUGAUACUGCAGAAGAUUAAGAUCUGUAACAUACUCUCCUGAGCCAACCAUAUGCAGCUCUGCUAAAGUCAUUUGUUGCACAACAAACGUGUGUGUUUCUGAGAGGAUCCUGAUGUCAUACUUGUGCAGUGGCACCAAUGUGUGUGCUCCACAUGCUCCACCUCCAGCACUUCUACUGUAAUUAAUUGGCUGGGUGAAAGUGCUGAGCCAGCACGGCCCACACUGGGACGCCAAACAGAAAACACACAAAUCUUUACGUGCACCUCCAGAUAUUUGUUGCACAUGUACCCAAGAUUGUGUGAGUCAUCUGUGGGUGCAGAAAUCAAAGGUUCUGUCACAGCAUUGAGCAUUCCCAUUUUCCCGUCAGCUUUCAUUAACCAACCUGUCAACUAACAGCUGUAACGCUGCUCUUACAACUUGUUUGUAGUUGUUCUCCCCCACAGCCACACAGAUUAAAGUUGCUGAAUAACCGAGUGAGACACGCACCAAAUUAACUUCAAUGGUGUGUGAAAUUUUUAAACAACUAUGUAAGAGAUCAAGAAAUGUAAAAUAGGAUAAUUUCCUUGUUUUAUUUUGGGAGAGUUAUGUGUGAAUUAUCUGCAGCUUAUAGAGACACCACGGUCAGAGGAGGCCUGUGAUUUUUUUUCAUCUGGAAAUCACUGCAACACUAUCUCUCUUGCCAGGGAAUAGUUCCACAAACACACCUCCAGAUGGAUGCCUGACACACACACACACACACACACACACACACACACACACACACACACACACACACACACACACACACACACACACACACACACACACACACACA
Nothobranchius furzeri (turquoise killifish) is the source of this 6785-nucleotide non-coding RNA. Lineage: Eukaryota; Metazoa; Chordata; Actinopteri; Cyprinodontiformes; Nothobranchiidae. The record is from RefSeq and is a predicted model, not a curated record.